GUUACAGGCCAAUAAGACUCUUGCCGUGAUUUGCGACGCUCCAAUUCAUUUGUAUCUAAAACAGGGAUCCACUUGGCUUGUCCUGGUAUGCGCCAAUGCAUUAAUACCAACAAUACCCCAGUUGAAUCGUAGAUGUAAGGAUCUCCAACAUCCGAAAAGAAAACACUCUCUAACGUUCCUUGGGGUGGUAAUGCAACCCCAUCACCAGUUUGCAACAUUUCAUCACGAGAAAUGUCUUCAAUGGAAUAAACAAGACGAGAAUUUCCAUCAGAGCUCAAACCAUCGUUGGCGAUGGUUAUAAUCGUAUCCUGAAAAGAUGAACAAGCUACAAAUGGCAAGUGUUUACUCCUGUGAAUGCUAAUUGGAAAGCCUUGUCUUGAGAAUACGCGAACAUAUCCAGCACUCGUACAUACCAGUACAACGCUUGAGCUUAAUGAAAUUGUCACAGGACUUUCAUUCUCCAUGGGUAAAGCCAUUGCCCAUUCAGAUUUACGCGACCAAUCAACAUGUGCUUUAUAAUAAAUAACACCAGGUGAACUUUCC
Non-coding RNA from Schizosaccharomyces pombe (fission yeast), 543 nucleotides. The record is from the annotation of a GenBank genome assembly. Lineage: Eukaryota; Fungi; Ascomycota; Schizosaccharomycetes; Schizosaccharomycetales; Schizosaccharomycetaceae.